CAAAAACAAGUCUGAUAGCAGUCCAACGGUUGGCGUGUGUGCUCGGUCCUGACAAGGCGGUGCACCUGCCGAACCACAUUUACACACCUACUGAUUCACUGCAGGGCAUCCAUGUCCAGGCUUGUUUAAGACGUCCCAGGUCCCGUGCGGAAUGGAAGCUCAGUUACAGGAUCACGCAAAGGCUCCCUGAGGCUUAACAAGGGUUGCCGACGCAGACAAACUCAGGCAAUCUGCGCUCUCUGAGGUCGACAGUAAAAGCUGCAUACAAGGAGGGACACCAGGAAGCCGAGCAGACACAAAGGAUGAGACUCAACAUAGACUAGAAACAAACGCUGACAGGCAAAUGUGGGAAGCUGAGUUUUUCAGAGCAAACAUGGUUAUUCCCACACAGACAUUUAUGAUAAAAUGAGCGCAGCUGUUUUCCAGUAUGCUGGUAUUUAAAAAAACAAAACAAAGCAAUAAAAGAUGUUGCCUGCUUGGGUUGAUGAUUUAUAUAAAACAAAAUCAAAACAGAUUAUGAGCUCCUCACAGACAGCAGUGGCUGUACUCUAGAGACAUUUUUUGUUUUGUGAAAAGCCAAAGCCAAAAUGUUUGGACCAUGUGGCAGAUGAAGGAGCAAAAGCAAACACACACUUCUGAGCGGGGCGGCUGCGGCUGUCUGACUGAGCCAAACCAUAGCUGAGGAGACCCACUCAAAGAAAGAUCUGGUGCAGUUUGGCAUACACCGAGCACGGAGAGUUCAAAUGUACCGAAGACUUUGUUGGAUAAGAGGAAUCCGAGCAGUAUUUCUCGUGCGCCACUUCAAGACACUGAAGAUAAAAUGUCAGCAGUCCUAAGGUUCUGGCUUCCUCCCAAGAGACCCUCAGAUGCACCCAAUCUGGGGCCAGCUGUUCCCUCACUCCCGUUUUCUCUUAAAGUAAAUGUCUUGUUGCGCUACAGGCUCUCUGACUUUUAACUUCAUUAAGAUCUCAUUCUGCAUUCAUUACCACGGUUGUACAUUUCUGCUAUAAACAGAAGAAGUAAGAAGGGGGCAGGACAGUGCAACAUUAUCACAAAUUGUGUUGACCUCAGGCUCUAAAAUUGAUGAACCCCAUUUUUUACUGGCUGAAAGCCGAUGACCACUGGAAGAGAACCUGACUGAAAACAUGAAUAAGGUCAAAUGCUUUAAAAAGAAGAAAAGACACAAAGUCACUGACAUCUAUCGAACUGGAUAGGGUAGCAAAGACAUUUCUUUGGGACUCCAACAAACAAAUAUCACUCCAAGAACACAAAAGCCCGUCUCAUAUUUAUCAUAAAUACAUGGACAUAUGGACUGUCAAAUAGAGUGGCGGUAGAGUGCUGUCUGGGGCUGCUUUUCUGUUUCUGGACUUUACUGACCUUGACAAUACUAUGAUGUUUUUGGACCAUGCAGUAAUACUAUGAUUUAAAGCACACCAGUAAGCUCACAGCUGAAAGGCUAAAAAACGCUUUGGAGUGGCCUAGUCAAAUCUGCACUUGCUGUGACAUGACUGGUCAUACUGGAAAACCUUUCAAUGUGCCUUAAUUAAAACAGUUUUACAAGGAGGAAUGAGCCAAAAUUUCUUCUCCUUGAGACAACAAGGGACAGUGAAGCAGGAAGAGUUGAGGAGGAUGUAUGGAGCUAAAUACAUGACGGGCUAUAAUACAAAUG
Molecule: long non-coding RNA, 1669 nt
Organism: Girardinichthys multiradiatus
Lineage: Eukaryota; Metazoa; Chordata; Actinopteri; Cyprinodontiformes; Goodeidae
Exons: 3
Source: RefSeq, a predicted model, not a curated record